Molecule: long non-coding RNA, 4151 nt
Organism: Equus caballus (horse)
Lineage: Eukaryota; Metazoa; Chordata; Mammalia; Perissodactyla; Equidae
Source: RefSeq, a predicted model, not a curated record
GGCGUUUAAUAAAACUCAGCCAGUGGUGAAUGGGCUGCCCACUCUCCAAUGGUAAUUAAUUCCCUAUUUCAGUGACCCAAUUGUCCUGGGACAGAGCGGUGGGCCCGUCCCGGUGCCCCGGUCCCCCUUUGUGCGGAUACAAGGCCCUCGUGCUUCAACAGCUAUGGAAACUCAUUCUUUUGAUGUCAUUCAAGGAGUUUUCCUUGGGCAUCUUCUAAACUUCAAGGACCCUUUUCUUUCUCCGUCUCAUGAAAAGCAGUGCGAGCUUGACCACCUCUGCAGAAUUUAAUGAUUUGGUGAAAGGGCCCUUUGGGGUUUGUAUAAGGAGUUAGACGGAGAGAAAGGAAAUUUGGCAGCCUGCUCCCUCGCAGGACAGUCCUGAACCUGGAAAACACAAAACUUAUUGAGAGCAAUGGAUCCAGAUCUGAAAACUGAUUUUUCCUUUCUUCUCCACUAAGGAAAAAGCAAAACCCCCCAAAACACUGAAUUCUCUUCUGGAAAUAAAGCUAUUGUUUGUUGUUGCUGAUAUAAGGCUGAACUUGGGGGAUAAAUAAGUUCCAAACUUCAGCAGAGAACAUUCUUUAAUCUGUACCUUUGGGGAAUAGGAUAUCAGUUUACUACUUUCACUCAUUCGUUCAACCAUCCCUCCUUCCUACAUUCCAAAUACACUUAAUGAGCACCCAGUGUAUGCCGGGCCCUGUACCGACCCCCGGGAACGAUGCCACGCAGGAGGCAGACAUCAUUCCUACCCGUGGAGAGCUUACAUUCAAAUAAGUAGACCAAAAAAAAAAAAGUCACAUAAAUCAGAAAACUGUGUGUUGCAUCGACACAAAAAAACUGUAAUAUAAUAGAGAGUGUCAGGAGAGCACGAGGCUAGGUUUUAUUUUCAGAGAUCCAAAGGGAUACUUUAGAGCCCAAAACAUUUGGGGGCGACCCUAAGAGCUGACUUAUUCAUUCUUUCAUUCCUCCAAAUAUUUCUCAAGCGCCUACUGUGUGCCAGGCGCCGUGCGGGGCGCGGAGUGCGCCCCGCCGGCGAGCAGACGGCCGCGGCCUGGACGGCCGGUCCCGCGGGUGAUGCUGCGCUGGCGGACGCCGCGGGGUCGGGACUCCAGGCCGGGAGGGGGCGGCCGCGGCGCGCGGGCAGCGCUCCCAGCACAAGUAGCUCUUCUAUGUCUUUAUACGCACUUCCAAAAAAACUUCGCAAGUCACAGAAACAAUUCAGAAUUCAACUAAGAAAAUACAGAGUGAACCAUAUGGCCUGGGUGGCUCGAGUCGGCUGCAUUUUCCUCUAGACAAAGAAGGGAUUGAGAGUUGAAGGAAAGGAGAAAAAAACCAACUUUCCGGCUGAUGAAGCUGUUGUCUGGAGGCAAUGAUCCCAAAUCUGAAGGCUUUAUUCCGGCUCCGACGGAGACGUGAUAUGUCAUAUGAUUAGCAUCUUUCAUAUUUACAAGAGUGGUACGGGCUGCCAGUCUGGAGAGAAAGGCGAGAGAAAGAAGGGGGCAUAUGCUGAAAUGGAUUUAGCAUUUGAAAGAGAGAAAGGAGAUCGGAUAAAUACACUUAAACGAGGAUUUCGUUUUACUCCUGUUGAGUUCUAAUGGAUUGUUGAUUGAGAUUUUAGGGGCCUGGAACCGAGGUGUCAGCAGUAAUUUAAAGAAGGCAUUCAGUCCCCAGCGCCUCUUUUCUCCAUGUCCCCCUCCCUCCCCUGCCGCCCUCUCUCAUUUGCGCCUUCAAGCAGUCCGGGGGCGGAGGAGGCUUUUAAAACAAAACACAAAACAAGAUCUUACGGAGGCCGAGGCCCGCGGGAGCCGGAGCGCCGAGGGGUCUGCAGGAGGCGCCCCUCCAGCCGGCGGCGCCCCGGGCUCCCGCUCCCCGCCCGCCGCACCUGGGCGUCCGCGGGGCGCGCGGCGAGGGCCUGGCGCCCUCUGCCGGGUCCCCGGGCCGCCCUCCGGGCCUCCACCUGCGGCCGCCGCGGAGCCCAGCGCACGGGCAGGCCGGACCCUCCGCGGCGGCCUGCGGCAGCCGAGGUCCACAAGCGGCCGGCCUAGCCCCGGACUUGCGUUGGGAGGACUUCGCUGUUCCACAGCUGGAAGCGACGCCAGGACUCGGUCGGGGAAAAGACCUGGACUCCAGACUGUUAAGAGGACCUCGUAUGCGCUCCUGGGGAGGAUACCGCGUCUGUACAUUGUAUCCUGUGGUACAGAUAAAUGUUUGUCCUCACGCGUCCAGAGCCCCUUUCCAGAUUCUCUCUCAUACUGCUGUGGCUCCCCCAGUAUUUUUUCUUCUCUUCCGAGUUGGAAUUUGAUGCUCAUUUUAGUUAGAUGGCAUGUGUGUAAAAUGUUGGGGGAGGGGGCUGCCUUAGGCCUCAUGCCCUGGAUCCAGACGCCCAAAUUCCUGUUUCUGCUCCCCAUUUUCAUCUCUUUCCUGCUAAAAUUUACUUGUCCUUAACUUGGUUAGGUAAAUUGUGCUUUCCUAAGUGUCAAAGGUAACUUAAGGACUUAAAUUUUAGCAUUUUCCCUGUGACUCUUUUAAGCUGCCCACAUUUGCCAACAGUGGAGACUAAUAAUAAAUUACAGUACUGCCGCAACAAAUAAAAAGUCCCGCAGACUUUAAAAUCAUAUUUAUGACAGAUAUUUAAUUUCUGAAAAUCGUGAUAUGAUGCUUAGUGUGACCCCAGUUUGUAGACCAUGUAUGUGUAUAUAUAUAUAUAUAUAUAUCUGAGUGGUUGGAGGGAAACAGGAACACAUACAUCCUGGAGAGAAAAAUAGUCAUAGUACUUAUCUUUUUGCCAUUGGGGAGUGGUCAUUUAAAUUUUCUUCUGAGUUUUCCAAGUAAAUUUUGGAACAUUUGUAAUCAAGGAUUGUUAUUUAAAAACGCUGGUCUUCUGGAGAGUGCCUGGUCUUUCGCAGUCUUCGUCAGAGAUUGGAAGUAAGUUCCAGAUCAGAGAUGGCUAAAGGGGGUGAGUUACAUCACAGAGCUCACCCACAGUUGAAAUCCAGGCCCUGGAAGUUGACCGUUUGGGUUGACAUGGGAUACUGUAACUUAAAAACAAACACUUAAAAAACUUGUUCUUGAACUAUAAUAUAAACAUUGUUGUACAGGACCGAAACGUUCAAUGCUAAUUCUAAAUUUUUAAUUUUUGUUAAAUCACCAUUCUUGGGGUAGACCAGAGAAAGAAACGCUCUUCAGUGCUAUUAUUUCCAUAUUCUGGGUAAAUCACAUCUAAUUUUCCCAGAGGGAUGAGGUCACCUCACAGGGCUUUGAUGGAUUCCCAAAGAAAGAUUUUUUUACCAAUGUUUUAAAGUAAUGUUUUUCCUUAUUUAAUAAUACUUGCUAACAGGAAUUUUUUUGUGUCUAAUCAUUCCUAAAUGUUUCUUCUUGACUUGUCCUCAGCGGUGAUUAAAACCUGUCCUCUUUCAUCCCCGUGCUUGAAAAUACGGCAUCUAAAGCUGCUAUGUUAAAAACAAUCAGGAUCCAGAAAAUGUUUAAUUCUGAGUGUUGCUUUGAGGCUUUGGCUUUCUCUGUCGACAGAAGCUGUCUUCCCCCUGAAGGAGGCGACUGUGGGUCUGUUUCCCUCUGCCCUCUUGCAGCACCGAUCACCCCACUGAAACUGUGCUGUAUUGUUGACUGUGCAGGAGACAGCAGGACAGAGAAUAAGAGAAAGGCAAGGAUUUGCAAGUGGAUAAUGGCAUUCUUCUCAGCAAAUUCUCUUUUUCUGCAGAGUUUUUAUUUUUGAGGAUUUGCAAGUUCAUUUUUUCUUGAAGGAAGAAAAAGAAUAAUCUCACAAUGCAAUAUUGUGCAGAAGAAAUGAAGAGAUAUUUUCUAAAGUUUUUCAUGUGCCAUUUUCUGGAGUGCUUUCCUAAAGACUUAUUUCAUUGGAUACCUGAUGAAAACCAAGGAAAUAGGAGCUGCUUCUUGCAGAAGGGAAGCAGACCUACAGUGAGCCAGGCACCGUACCAGGUAGAAGCAUCCCUGCUGCCUCCUUUUCCUCUGCCCUGCUGCUUGGAACAUGGUGUGACAUUUGGAUCUCUGUCUUGGCUCAUGAGGAAGAAGAGCACAGUCUGGAGACGGUGGAGCAGAGAUGCUGUGCCAGCUCUCCACUGCUUCUUUCCAAAUUUGUGUGCAUGAGAGAAAUAAAUUUUUACUUGUUUGAA